GUUGUAAUCUGGAGAAGCAUUUUCCGCGUCGGACCGUGUACAAGUUUCUUGGAAUAGAACGUCAUAGAGGGUGAGAAUCCCGUCCAUGACACGGACUACCGAUGCUUUGUGAUAUGCUCUCGAAGAGUCGAGUUGUUUGGGAAUGCAGCUCAAAAUGGGUGGUAAAUUCCAUCUAAAGCUAAAUAUUGGCGAGAGACCGAUAGCGAACAAGUACCGUGAGGGAAAGAUGAAAAGCACUUUGGAAAGAGAGUUAAACAGUACGUGAAAUUGUUGAAAGGGAAACGCUUGAAGUCAGUCGCGUUGGCAGAGACUCAGCCUUGCUUUGCAUGGUGUACUUCUCAGUUAACGGGUCAACAUCAAUUUCAGUUGGUGGAUAAAGGCAUUGGGAAUGUGGCACCUUCGGGUGUGUUAUAGACCUUUGUUGCAUACACUGACCGGGAUUGAGGAACGCAGCACGCCACUAAGGCCAGGGAUUCGUCCCAUGUAACGUGCUUAGGAUGUUGGCAUAAUGGCUUUAAGCGACCCGUCUUGAAACACGGACCAAGGAGUCUAACAUGCCUGCGAGUAUUAGGGUGGAAAACCCUUGUGCGUAAUUAACGUGAAAGUUGGGACCUCUUGCGAGGGCACCGACG
This 632-nucleotide ribosomal RNA is filed under the name Schizopora radula. RNAcentral describes it as "partial large subunit ribosomal RNA". It matches the Rfam family "Eukaryotic large subunit ribosomal RNA", at positions 142 to 763 of the family's 3401-position model. The record is from RNAcentral. Lineage: Eukaryota; Fungi; Basidiomycota; Agaricomycetes; Hymenochaetales; Schizoporaceae.